GACGAACGCUGGCGGCGUGCCUAAUACAUGCAAGUAGAACGCUGAAGGAGGAGCUUGCUUCUCUGGAUGAGUUGCUAACGGGUGAGUAACGCGUAGGUAACCUGCCUGGUAGCGGGGGAUAACUAUUGGAAACGAUAGCUAAUACCGCAUAAUAGCAGUUGUUGCAUGACAACUGUUUGAAAGGUGCAAUUGCACCACUACCAGAUGGACCUGCGUUGUAUUAGCUAGUUGGUGGGGUAACGGCUCACCAAGGCGACGAUACAUAGCCGACCUGAGAGGGGGGUCGGCCACACUGGGACUGAGACACGGCCCAGACUCCAACGGGAGGCAGCAGUAGGGAAUCUUCGGCAAUAGACGGAAGUCUGACCGAGCAACGCCGCGUGAGUGAAGAAGGUUUUCGGAUCGUAAAGCUCUGUUGUAAGAGAAGAACGAGUGUGAGAGUGGAAAGUUCACGCUGUGACGGUAUCUUACCAGAAAGGGACGGCUAACUACGUG
This 495-nucleotide ribosomal RNA is filed under the name uncultured bacterium. RNAcentral's name for it is "partial 16S ribosomal RNA". It matches the Rfam family "Bacterial small subunit ribosomal RNA", at positions 28 to 507 of the family's 1533-position model. The record is from RNAcentral.